This 253-nucleotide ribosomal RNA is filed under the name uncultured bacterium. RNAcentral describes it as "partial 16S ribosomal RNA". It matches the Rfam family "Bacterial small subunit ribosomal RNA", at positions 524 to 776 of the family's 1533-position model. The record is from RNAcentral.
UACGUAGGGGGCGAGCGUUGUCCGGAUUUAUUGGGCGUAAAGAGCGCGUAGGUGGUUUGUAAAGUCGGAUGUGAAAGUCCAGGGCUCAACCCUGGGAUGCCAUUCGAUACUUGCAAACUAGAGCACGGUAGGGGGAUCUGGAAUUCCUGGUGUAGCGGUGAAAUGCGCAGAUAUCAGGAGGAACACCGGUGGCGAAGGCGGGAUCCUGGGCCGUUGCUGACACUGAGGCGCGAAAGCUGGGGGAGCAAACAGG